This is a long non-coding RNA of Daphnia pulex (common water flea), 818 nucleotides long. RefSeq lists it as uncharacterized. The transcript has 3 exons. The record is from RefSeq and is a predicted model, not a curated record. NCBI's taxonomy places the organism in Eukaryota, Metazoa, Arthropoda, Branchiopoda, Diplostraca, Daphniidae.
UCAUCAAACUGUCAAAGUCCUGAGACGACUGACAGAACAGUCUUUCUUUUGCUGUCGAGACGCUGUCCGAGAAGGUAAAAUUUAGUCAUUGCUGGUACUUUCUUACGUGACAUUGUUGAUCAUAGACAUGGAUUUCUUGGUUAGUUUGAUGUUGGAGCUGCCAAUGGUGUUGAUGCAGCGUUCAUGGUGUGAGCAGUGGUUUUGCAGUCAUUUUCCAGUCGAGAUGUCUUGAGGGCGCGUUUUCGCAAUGGAGCUUGUCAAAAUGGAAUUUUCGCAAAUGGAGCUUGUGCAGACAUUCACUUCAACAUCAUAUUUCAAUGUGAUAUUUACGUAAUGUUGAUGUUCUUGCAGUGUUGAAUGGUUGUGCAAAAUAGUUGAUGUUGCCUGGUGGCUGUCGGACAUGUUUUAUCGGCUGCCUUUUGUCGAUGUGUCGUGUCGUCUCUUGCCACCUGUACGCACGUUAAGAUAAAUCGUACGCCGCCGUUCCAGACUUGAUCCAUUGGUGAAGCCGAAAGAGGUUGCUGAAAUUCAAGACUGAAAAAUAAAUUAGACUGGACAAUUUACAAAUGCAUAUAUGUUGUCCCUUUUCCCUGAGUAAACAGCAUGUCCGCCGUUGGUUAUUCGUCUGGUCGAAAGGGAAAUAGCAAUGAGAAGUUCUGAUGUAUUUUUGGAGAAAGAUUUGUUUGAUCACGAAGUAAUUCUCCCUUGUGUUUCGCGAUCAACUGUACCACCUUUUAUAUAUAACAUUUCAGGCUCUUCACAUGUAUAUGACCAAUAUCAAUAUUAUUACUUCGCUAACAAUAAAAUAUGAAAUCAAA